ACGGGAGGCAGCAGUGGGGGAUAUUGCACAAUGGGGGAAACCCUGAUGCAGCGACGCCGCGUGAGUGAUGAAGUAUUUCGGUAUGUAAAGCUCUAUCAGCAGGGAAGAAAAUGACGGUACCUGACUAAGAAGCUCCGGCUAAAUACGUGCCAGCAGCCGCGGUAAUACGUACGGAGCAAGCGUUAUCCGGAUUUACUGGGUGUAAAGGGAGCGUAGACGGUGACGCAAGUCUGAAGUGAAAGGUGUGGGCUCAACCCGCAAACUGCUUUGGAAACUGUGUGACUAGAGUGUCGGAGAGGUAAGUGGAAUUCCUAGUGUAGCGGUGAAAUGCGUAGAUAUUAGGAGGAACACCAGUGGCGAAGGCGGCUUACUGGACGAUAACUGACGUUGAGGCUCGAAAGCGUGGGGAGCAAACAGGAUUAGAUACCCUGGUA
This 434-nucleotide ribosomal RNA is filed under the name uncultured bacterium. Its description in RNAcentral is "partial 16S ribosomal RNA". It matches the Rfam family "Bacterial small subunit ribosomal RNA", at positions 341 to 792 of the family's 1533-position model. The record is from RNAcentral.